AUGCCCAAUGCACCCAAAAUCUUCAGCCGCAAGCAAUGGCAGAUCCUUGGAGCAGUUUUAAUUCACAGUUCACAAGAGAUCAUCGGAAACUACUGCUUGCCAAACGACAAGGGACAAACUUUGAGCACUCCCAAGGACGUGAAUAUACUCAAGCCAAUAAGAAAAUGCCGAGGGAUCAGAGUACUAUAUGGCCUGCAAGUACAGAUGCGGCAUUCCAUGCGCGGGAGAUACGUGCCACAAGGGCCACGGUUAGUUAUGCAGCCGUUGAACUGCGUAAGCUUCUUGCUUGGGGUGGCCGUCCUAUCGGCCACCCUUGAGCCCUUCGUCGCCAUUGCGCACAGAGAGUUGCCGACGGCAACUGACAGCGAGAGAGGACCGGAAACCAGGCUGGAGCCCACCGUUGACAGAACCAUAACAGAUGAGGGAACCAGAAGCAAUGCACUGACAAGAGGAAAGAUGGUUCUUGGAGAUGCAGCCAUGGAGAAGACGGAUGAUAGAAGCACAGCAAGCUCAGGUGCAAAACAUCCUGUUGGACAAUGUGGGCAUGGAGGAGGGAAGGAUUUGAGUAUGGACUGUUAUUUUAGGGGUAGGAAACUUCAUCCAGGGGCUUACUUCGAUGGCCACAUACCCUUCACCGCUGAUUACCGUAGACCACGGAACCACCCGCCCAAGAACAACUAG
This 681-nucleotide ribosomal RNA is filed under the name Triticum aestivum (bread wheat). Its description in RNAcentral is "partial small subunit ribosomal RNA". Lineage: Eukaryota; Viridiplantae; Streptophyta; Magnoliopsida; Poales; Poaceae. The record is from RNAcentral.